Molecule: transfer RNA, 67 nt
Filed under: Acropyga panamensis
Lineage: Eukaryota; Metazoa; Arthropoda; Insecta; Hymenoptera; Formicidae
Description: tRNA-Pro
Source: RNAcentral
CAAAAAAUAAUUUAAUUAAGAAUGUUAAUUUUGGAGAUUAAAUGUAUAAUAUUAAUUAUUUUUUUGA